This 745-nucleotide ribosomal RNA is filed under the name uncultured bacterium. RNAcentral describes it as "bacterial SSU rRNA". It matches the Rfam family "Bacterial small subunit ribosomal RNA", at positions 98 to 823 of the family's 1533-position model. The record is from RNAcentral.
GCGGAAGGGUUAGUAAUACAUGGGUAACCUACCUUUAACUCUGGGAUAACGGUUGGAAACGACCGCUAAUACCGGAUGUGGUAAAAAGGAGACAUCUUUAUUUUAUUAAAGUGGGGGAUCGUAAGACCUCGCGGUUAAUGAGGGGCCCAUGGGAUAUCAGCUAGUUGGUGUGGUAAAGGCGCACCAAGGCUAAGACGUCUAGGCGGAUUGAGAGAUUGACCGCCAACACUGGGACUGAGAACUGCCCAGACUCCUACGGGAGGCUGCAGUCGAGAAUCAUUCGCAAUGGGCGAAAGCCUGACGAUGCGACGCCGUGUGAGCGAAGAAGGCCUUAGGGUCGUAAAGCUCUUUCGCUUGGGAACAAGAUAAGCUGGCUAAUAUCCGGCAAGUUUGAGCGUACCAGGUAAAGAAGCACCGGCUAACUCCGUGCCAGCAGCUGCGGUAAUACGGAGGGUGCAAGCGUUAAUCGGAUUUAUUGGGCGUAAAGGGCGCGUAGGCGGGGGUGCAAGUCAGAUGUGAAAUCCCGGGGCUCAACCUCGGAACAGCAUUUGAAACUACAUCUCUAGAGGGUAGGCGGAGAAAACGGAAUUCCACAAGUAGCGGUGAAAUGCGUAGAUAUGUGGAAGAACACCGGUGGCGAAGGCGGUUUUCUAGCUUAUUCCUGACGCUAAAGCGCGAAAGUAAGGGGAUCAAACAGGAUUAGAUACCCUGGUAGUCCUUACUGUAAACUAUGUAUACUUGGUGU